UGGGGAAUCUUGCGCAAUGGGCGAAAGCCUGACGCAGCGACGCCGCGUGAGGGAAGAAGGCCUUCGGGUUGUAAACCUCUUUCAGGAGGGACGAAGCUACUCGGGUUAAUACCCCAGAGGGUGACGGUACCUCCAGAAGAAGCCCCGGCUAACUACGUGCCAGCAGCCGCGGUAAUACGUAGGGGGCAAGCGUUGUCCGGAAUCAUUGGGCGUAAAGAGCGUGUAGGCGGCCAGAUAAGUCCGCUGUGAAAUCUCGAGGCUCAACUUCGAGCUGUCGGUGGAAACUGUCUGGCUAGAGUCCGGAAGAGGAGAAUGGAAUUCCUGGUGUAGCGGUGAAAUGCGCAGAUAUCAGGAAGAACACCCGUGGCGAAGGCGGUUCUCUGGGACGGUACUGACGCUGAGACGCGAAAGCGUGGGGAGCGAACAG
This 427-nucleotide ribosomal RNA is filed under the name uncultured bacterium. RNAcentral's name for it is "bacterial SSU rRNA". It matches the Rfam family "Bacterial small subunit ribosomal RNA", at positions 355 to 775 of the family's 1533-position model. The record is from RNAcentral.